Long non-coding RNA from Panthera uncia (snow leopard), 1400 nucleotides. RefSeq lists it as uncharacterized. The transcript is spliced from 3 exons. Lineage: Eukaryota; Metazoa; Chordata; Mammalia; Carnivora; Felidae. The record is from RefSeq and is a predicted model, not a curated record.
GUCCGCGAGGGUGUCGGCGGGGCGUGUCGGAGAGGCGAGGCGUACCCGGUGAGGCGUGUGCGUGGGGCGUGUCCGCGAGGCAUGUCCGCGAGGGUGUCGGUGGGGCGUGUCCGUGAGGCGUGUCCGUGAGGGUGCCGGUUAGGCGUGUCGGAGAGGCGUACCCGGUGAGGCGUGUGCGUGGGGCGUGUCCGCGAGGGUGUCGGUGGGGCGUGCGCGUGAGGCGUGUCCGUGAGGCGUGUCGGAGAGGCGAGGCGUACCCGAACAUCUGAAGGCCUAUCCUGACCCUCCCGCCUGGAUGGACAAGGCUUGACCUCGACACUUCCCAAGCGCCUCAGGACCCCGACUACCGCUGGGAUCACAGGUGGACCCUUGGCCUCCAUGAAGUCGCCUGCGCACAGGAGGCAGAGAAGGAAGAUGGAUGCAGCAAACGCGCGAAUCCACACCACGGAAUAGUAUUCGGCGGUAAAAAGCGAUCAGCACCGACACCUGUUGCGACACGGAUGAACCUUGGAAACAUCGAGGCUCCGUGAGGUGCCCAGACUCCAGACUCGGCACGUGGUAUGACUCCGUUUACGUGAAAUUGUUCGCAACAGGCAAACCCGUAAUGGCAGGAAGGAGAUGGCUGGGUACCAGGGCUGGGGACAGGCAAACAGGGGAAGACUGCUAGUGGGUACAGGGUUUCCCACUGGGGUGAUAAAAACGGUGGCCAUGACUGCAAAACACUGUGAAUGUAUUCCAUGUCACUAAUGGUAAGUUCUAGGUGUUAAACGUUAAGUGUAUUUUACCACAAUUUAAAAAGGAAACCAAACGAAUCUGUGUGCAUUCUCCUUAGUGCAGAGACGUGACUUUUAAGGUCUUGGAAGUCAGAAAAGGUGUGCCUGUCCAAGGUAAUGAGUUGGACACGAGAGAAUCAAACAAUGACUCACGACCAAGGACCUCAUUAAACGCAAGCAGCUGGCAUGGGGUGGGGGAGUGGGGCAGGAGCGUCUGGAGGAGUAGCUAGGGAAAGAGCGGAAGCAGAACCUGGGAUCAGGCCUGACCUUCGGGAAAGAUCUAGAUGCUGUGUCUGCAAGGGAAGGAUAGUGGACGCAUUUACAACACACAUUCCUUUGGCAAAGGACAGAAAACCGAAUGAGACAUCGGAAUGCUAAAAUAGUCCAUUUUACAAGCUCUAUCCGUGACGUUCUCUUACUUCAGAGCUUCCACACACAGGGCAGGAAGCUCAGGGUCUCUGAGCUGUAGCUGCCCUUAUCUGUCAGGAGCAGGGUGUCCAGCAGGGCACAGUGGGAAGGCACCCCAAGACUAUGUAAGAGCGAGGCCUCCAUUCAGAGUGACACAACUACUCACACCCAGCCUACAGCCCUGGGUUCCCAGACCCACCUUGUGGGAGGAGCCUCUGG